UUUACAGUGAAUGAACGUAUUGCAGAUGUAUUAUUUUUUUGAGUGGGUGUUUGCUCCAAAUGAACUACUGGCUUACAUGGUACAGAGCCACAUUGAAAGUUCUAAAAAGUCACAUGUAGCUCAGGAGCUGCAAUUUGGCCACUAUGGUUAUUUAUCUCUAGUGGCCAAAUUGCAGUUUGCAAGCCAUCUGCAGUUCUUUGGUACUUUCAAUGUGGCUCUAUACCAGUGACAGAACUUAAAAUUUUUGAACUCCUACAAAAUAUUAUUUGGGCCCUACCACAAAAAAAAAAAAAAAAUUUUUAUCUAG
RNAcentral lists this long non-coding RNA (307 nucleotides) under Androctonus crassicauda. Lineage: Eukaryota; Metazoa; Arthropoda; Arachnida; Scorpiones; Buthidae. The record is from RNAcentral.